AGCUUGGUCCUGACUUACUAUAAGCUUUACCUAAAUUAAACAAGCAAGUUUCCGCACCCCUGGGAGAACGCCCUCCAUCCCCCCGUCUGGGAAGAGGAGCUGGCAUCAGGCACAUCACAUUAGCCCAAGACGCCUUGCUUAGCCACACCCCUAAGGGAAUUCAGCAGUAAUAAAUAUUAAGCCAUAAGUGAAAACUUGACUUAGUUAGGGUUAAAAGGGCCGGUAAAAUUCGUGCCAGCCACCGCGGUUAUACGAAAGACCCCAGUUUAUAGAUACGGCGUAAAGGGUGGUUAAGAUAAAACCAAAAUAAGGCCAAAGAUCCCCUAAGCAGUCAUACGCUUCACGAGAACACGAAGCCCAAAUACGAAAGUCGCCUUAAAAUACCUGACCCCACGAAAGCUGAAAUACAAACUGGGAUUAGAUACCCCCCUAUGUUCAGCCUUAAACCCAGAUAACAAAUUACAUAACUAUCCGCCAGGGGACUACAAGCACAGCUUAAAACCCAAAGGACUUGGCGGUGCCUCAGAUCCACCUAGAGGAGCCUGUUCUGAAACCGAUAACCCCCGUUAAACCUCACCACCCCUUGCCUUUCCAGCCUAUAUACCGCCGUCGUCAGCUUACCCUGUGAAGGCUUUAAUAGUAAGCAAAAUGAAUUCCACCCAAAACGCCAGGUCGAGGUGUAGCACAUGGAGUGGGAAGAAAUGGGCUACAUUUUCUAUUAUAGAAUAUACGGAUAAUGCCAUGAAAACAGCAUCUGAAGGAGGAUUUAGUAGUAAAAAAUAAACAGAGUGUAUUUUUGAAUUAGGCUCUGAGGCGCGCACACACCGCCCGUCACUCUCCCCAUACCACUAUAUAAUUAUUCCUAAUACUUAAACAUACAUACGGGGAGGCAAGUCGUAACAUGGUAAGUGUACCGGAAGGUGCACUUGGAAUAAUC
Molecule: non-coding RNA, 937 nt
Filed under: Apistoloricaria ommation
Lineage: Eukaryota; Metazoa; Chordata; Actinopteri; Siluriformes; Loricariidae
Description: partial 12S ribosomal RNA
Rfam family: Bacterial small subunit ribosomal RNA
Source: RNAcentral